AUAUAUAUAUAUAUACGUGAUAUAUGUAUGUGUAUAUAAUCGAUUGCGACGGAAAAUUACAGUAACAAUUAUUGAGGUAACAAUGAGUAUCUGCGUUUUUUGCAAAACAAAGCAAUCAAAAUAUCGUGGGCGAUCAUUUCACAAAUUUCCCGUGAAAGAUGUGUUGCGCGUUCAGCAUUGGUUAGAA
Long non-coding RNA from Neodiprion fabricii, 187 nucleotides. RefSeq lists it as uncharacterized. The transcript is spliced from 2 exons. Lineage: Eukaryota; Metazoa; Arthropoda; Insecta; Hymenoptera; Diprionidae. The record is from RefSeq and is a predicted model, not a curated record.